Molecule: ribosomal RNA, 215 nt
Filed under: Vibrio diabolicus
Lineage: Bacteria; Pseudomonadati; Pseudomonadota; Gammaproteobacteria; Vibrionales; Vibrionaceae
Description: partial 16S ribosomal RNA
Rfam family: Bacterial small subunit ribosomal RNA
Source: RNAcentral
CGGGUGAGUAAUGCCUAGGAAAUUGCCCUGAUGUGGGGGAUAACCAUUGGAAACGAUGGCUAAUACCGCAUGAUGCCUACGGSCAAAGAGGGGGACCUUCGGGCCUCUCGCGUCAGGAUAUGCCUAGGUGGGAUUAGCUAGUUGGUGAGGUAAGGGCUCACCWAGGCGACGAUCCCUAGCUGGYCUGAGAGGAUGAUCAGCCACACUGGAACUGA